CAACGGUUAAACCUGGCCACCAACGAAUGAGUGUUAGGGGUUUCGACCUGGUGCCGAAGUAACCAUAAGCAUCUGGGGGUACGGUCAAGAUGAAAUAAGAAUUGGGGGCCCCAACGUGGAUGGGUUAUUNAAGCAAGAAGACUUACCAGGUCUUGACAUCCUUGACCGGAGAGAUANCUUCCUUCGGGACAAGAACGUGGCGUGUGUCAUGGUGUAAGUGGUAAGCCCGCAACAGGCACCCUUUUUUUGCCUUCGGKUGGGCACUCUAAGGUGACUGCCGGUGACAAACCGGAGGAAGGUGGGGAUGACGUCAAAUCAUCAUGCCCCUUAUGACCUGGGCUACACACGUCUACAAUGGCCGGUACAAMGGGCUGCGAAGCCGCGAGGUGGAGCUAAUCCAAAAGCCGGUCUCAGUUCGGAUUGCAGGCUGCAACUCGCCUGCAGAAGUCGGAAUGCGUCGGCAGCAUGCGU
RNAcentral lists this ribosomal RNA (471 nucleotides) under Rhizobium sp. FL. Its description in RNAcentral is "bacterial SSU rRNA". The stretch from base 115 to 455 matches the Rfam family "Bacterial small subunit ribosomal RNA", at positions 931 to 1333 of the family's 1533-position model. Lineage: Bacteria; Pseudomonadati; Pseudomonadota; Alphaproteobacteria; Hyphomicrobiales; Rhizobiaceae. The record is from RNAcentral.